Molecule: ribosomal RNA, 395 nt
Filed under: uncultured bacterium
Lineage: Bacteria
Description: bacterial SSU rRNA
Rfam family: Bacterial small subunit ribosomal RNA
Source: RNAcentral
GGGGAAUAUUGCACAAUGGGCGAAAGCCUGAUGCAGCAACGCCGCGUGAGCGAUGAAGGCCUUCGGGUCGUAAAGCUCUGUCCUCAAGGAAGAUAAUGACGGUACUUGAGGAGGAAGCCCCGGCUAACUACGUGCCAGCAGCCGCGGUAAUACGGAGGGUGCAAGCGUUAAUCGGAAUUACUGGGCGUAAAGCGCACGCAGGCGGUUUGUUAAGUCAGAGGUGAAAGGCUACGGCUCAACCGUAGUAAGCCUUUGAAACUGGGGAACUUGAGUGCAGGAGAGGAGAGUGGAAUUCCUAGUGUAGCGGUGAAAUGCGUAGAUAUUAGGAGGAACACCAGUUGCGAAGGCGGCUCUCUGGACUGUAACUGACACUGAGGCACGAAAGCGUGGGGAGC